AUAGUACAUCUCUAGGAAAGAAAAGCCACAGGAGAGAGAAACGAGAGUGAGCCAAGAAUACAGGAUAAGACUUUACAGUCAUUGGAGGAAUCACCACAGCACUGCUCGACUACAUCAACAGAGGCCAAAAGUAGCAGAAAAUGAAAUGAUUAGGGAAGAUGAAAGAAGAGAGCUAGGAACUAGAAACAAAUUCUAAGGCUUCUGUGAACGGUAGACUCUGCUGAGUAACCCAUGUUCUUAACAGAACAAUAGAGUAAACGCUUGAAACCAGAGCAAGUGGAGGACCAAGAUUAACUCAGAAUACCAUAUUGCAAGCAACACCAUCCAGGGGCUACUUGAAAUUACUACUCAGUAAAAAAGAAGAGAAAAAGAUGAACCAAAUAGACUUCUAUAAAACAUAUUAAAACUGGAUUCUUUGCAAACAAAAAGGCUGAACAGACUCCUUUUGAAGGAGAAACUGGAAGUGUAUUUAAAGGUCCUCAGAAAACAAACAAACAAAACAAUAACAAGAAAACCAAGAAGCAAAAUAAACCAUGAAGUAAA
Molecule: long non-coding RNA, 543 nt
Organism: Mastomys coucha (southern multimammate mouse)
Lineage: Eukaryota; Metazoa; Chordata; Mammalia; Rodentia; Muridae
Exons: 2
Source: RefSeq, a predicted model, not a curated record